Molecule: small nucleolar RNA, 112 nt
Organism: Lachancea thermotolerans CBS 6340
Lineage: Eukaryota; Fungi; Ascomycota; Saccharomycetes; Saccharomycetales; Saccharomycetaceae
Source: RefSeq, a predicted model, not a curated record
GCGCACACGCGGAUACUAUUAUGAGCAUCCAAAUACAUUCUUAGCUAGAUAGUAUCUGAACGAUUACGAGUUGAACAUGUAAUAUCAUUCCUGAUUGUAUCCGCGCGUGUGC